AAAAUAAAUUGGGAGCUUAUCCGGCUAUUCACGUCACUCUCUCUCUACCAUUCAUCUGCAACACCCUAGAGAGAGAGAGAGUUAUUUUUUAUGGGUUUGUAGGGAAGGUUGAAAGUUAGGGGCUGUUUGAGAAGAACUGGUAUUUUGGGUUUGGAUUUAUAUAUAUAUAUAUAUAUAUAUUAAUAAGUUUUUCUUGAUUUGGGAAAUUCACGAUGCUCUCAAUCGGAGCUCUGAGAACCGUCUGUGAUAGGAGAGAGAUGAUCAAUGAGAAGAUGAAGAUUCUACAAGACUUGGUCCCAGGAUGUAACAAGGUUAUUGGGAAAGAACUCAUAAUUAAUUACAUGCAGUUACUACAACAUCAGGUUGAGAUGGGACCAAAUCAAAGAUCUGAGAAGAUCCUCUCUACUCUCCAAUCCAAGAAAAAUUCUUCUUAGAGGAAGGUAUCAAAACCUUUUCCCAAGCAAAUCUUUCAGAAUUUAACUGCGAAGAAUUAUUCCAGACUGAGCUACUCCCUGCAGAAAAAAGAGAUGAUGAACCACUUGAUGAUCGACUCCCUCUCUUUGUGGGCUUGAGCAAAACCUGGAAUUUUUGUGUUUUGGAAUUAAUUUUGGGUUGAUUUGUAGGGGGGGUUUUAUGUCAGAAAUUAUAAAGUUAAUUUCAGAACUGAAUUGAUGUAUAUGAAAUGAACUAUUUCCAUGGAUUGUGGGUGCUUGAUGCCACUGUGACAAAAAAUUAUAUGAGAAAUACUAGAGGGAAGGGAUCACUAAGGCCCUGUUUGAUUUCA
Molecule: non-coding RNA, 784 nt
Organism: Camellia sinensis
Lineage: Eukaryota; Viridiplantae; Streptophyta; Magnoliopsida; Ericales; Theaceae
Source: RefSeq, a predicted model, not a curated record